GGUUAAGCGACUAAGCGUACACGGUGGAUGCCCUGGCAGUCAGAGGCGAUGAAGGACGUGCUAAUCUGCGAAAAGCGUCGGUAAGGUGAUAUGAACCGUUAUAACCGGCGAUGUCCGAAUGGGGAAACCCAGUGCAAUUCGUUGCACUAUCGUUAACUGAAUACAUAGGUUAACGAGGCGAACCGGGGGAACUGAAACAUCUAAGUACCCCGAGGAAAAGAAAUCAACCGAGAUUCCCCCAGUAGCGGCGAGCGAACGGGGAGCAGCCCAGAGUCUGAAUCAGCUUGUGUGUUAGUGGAACGGUCUGGAAAGUCCGACGGUACAGGGUGAUAGUCCCGUACACCAAAAUGCACAGGCUGUGAACUCGAAGAGUAGGGCGGGACACGUGGUAUCCUGUCUGAAUAUGGGGGGACCAUCCUCCAAGGCUAAAUACUCCUGACUGACCGAUAGUGAACCAGUACCGUGAGGGAAAGGCGAAAAGAACCCCGGCGAGGGGAGUGAAAAAGAACCUGAAACCGUGUACGUACAAGCAGUGGGAGCACCUUCGGGUGUGACUGCGUACCUUUUGUAUAAUGGGUCAGCGACUUAUAUUCUGUAGCAAGGUUAACCGUAUAGGGGAGCCGCAGGGAAACCGAGUCUUAACUGGGCGUUAAGUUGCAGGGUAUAGACCCGAAACCCGGUGAUCUAGCCAUGGGCAGGUUGAAGGUUGGGUAACACUAACUGGAGGACCGAACCGACUAAUGUUGAAAAAUUAGCGGAUGACUUGUGGCUGGGGGUGAAAGGCCAAUCAAACCGGG
This 797-nucleotide ribosomal RNA is filed under the name Klebsiella pneumoniae. RNAcentral's name for it is "partial 23S ribosomal RNA". It matches the Rfam family "Bacterial large subunit ribosomal RNA", at positions 1 to 842 of the family's 2925-position model. The record is from RNAcentral. Lineage: Bacteria; Pseudomonadati; Pseudomonadota; Gammaproteobacteria; Enterobacterales; Enterobacteriaceae.